Syngnathus acus (greater pipefish) is the source of this 165-nucleotide long non-coding RNA. RefSeq lists it as uncharacterized. Lineage: Eukaryota; Metazoa; Chordata; Actinopteri; Syngnathiformes; Syngnathidae. The transcript is spliced from 2 exons. The record is from RefSeq and is a predicted model, not a curated record.
CAAUAAACAUCACAUAUUCUCUAAUUGAAUACAAAACCACUGUUGAUUUAAUUGUUUAAUGGCUCCAGUUUACCUGUGACCCUAAGAAGAGCUGCCCUCAGCAAUCAUGGCUUCCUGUUCAAUGUUGAUCCACACAAACAUCAACCAAGACAACACCGGAGGGAA